This 967-nucleotide long non-coding RNA is filed under the name Cairina moschata (Muscovy duck). Its description in RNAcentral is "domestica (muscovy Duck (domestic type)) lncRNA (ENSCMMG00000004304.1)". The record is from RNAcentral. Lineage: Eukaryota; Metazoa; Chordata; Aves; Anseriformes; Anatidae.
AUAAUGAGGGUCAUGGAAGAAAGAUGGUCAGCUCAGGGAGGUGUAUGUUUCUAUUGUGCAUUUGACAUGGUAUUGUAACUAUCCUCAUUCCUACAGGCAGCAUGAAAAGCAAACAUUGAAGAGGAAGGUAGCUUGGCAGAUGGACUUGGGCAGCAUGGAAGGUGAUACUGAGGCACCUGCAAGUCUUCGAAGAAGGAAGCAGGAGAUAUAGACAGAUUGGAAUGCACAUGGCCAGUAUGAUGCUGCUUCUUUUUCAACCCUUCCUUUAAAAAAGACAAAUGAGUGGAGAGUAAAGGAGAAAAUAUCCUAAGACAAUACGAAAAACUCUAAGCUUUACAUUUCUGCAAAAUGUGAUCAAGGAACAUUUUCAGAUGAAGUGCAGUGAAGACAUCUGGUUGCCUGCAUAAUUGAGGUAGUGCCAUUCUGCGUUUACUGCCUGUAGCUGGAGUGACUGUGCGCUGGCUGUGACAUCUCCUUUUGACUGAGGGGGUUUCAGACGUGCUCUUCAUGCACUAUGAUAGCAUGCAGAUAUGGUUUAUCACUUUCCCAGAGACUAAGAGCCAUGUGCAUACUGCAAAGAGCAAGAGGAGGAUUCUUGUCUCUCCAGCCAGCUGAUACUCAGGUACAGUGACUGGUACUUGUCUGAAGCUUUGAGACCGAAGUAGGAGAAACAAAUCUAAAUCUGCUACAAAUAAUGCGAUGAAACAGAAAUAUAUUUCAGAUGACUAAAAGCUGUGUUUUCUCCCCACUUCACUUCAGGUCAUUAGAAGAUUUGUGUGUCCAUUCUCCACAUAAAUAAAAACUUGUCUGUUUGCUUUGGAAACUGUCUUCUAGGGAAAGUGAGACUGCGUCAUGGGCUAUGUGAUGAGGUAGAACUCUGGUCAUAUGGGAACUAACAGAUUAGCUCAAUACAAAUUUAUAAAGUUGGCUUUGACUUUACUAGGACAACAGGAGCCUUGUCCAAGCA